This 253-nucleotide ribosomal RNA is filed under the name uncultured bacterium. RNAcentral describes it as "partial 16S ribosomal RNA". It matches the Rfam family "Bacterial small subunit ribosomal RNA", at positions 524 to 776 of the family's 1533-position model. The record is from RNAcentral.
UACGUAGGGUGCGAGCGUUGUCCGGAAUUACUGGGCGUAAAGCGCACGUAGGCGGAUCGUUAAGUCGGGGGUGAAAUCCUGGAGCUCAACUCCAGAACUGCCUUCGAUACUGGCGAUCUUGAGUCCGGAAGAGGUGAGUGGAACUCCUAGUGUAGAGGUGGAAUUCGUAGAUAUUAGGAAGAACACCAGUGGCGAAGGCGGCCCGCUGGGCAGUGGCUGACACUGAGGCGCGACAGCGUGGGGAGCAAACAGG